CUGGACAACGCUGAAGUUGCUAUGAUGAGCUUCCCAUAAGAUCUAUUCUUUAAUCUCAGCAUUCUCAAUUACAUACAAUCGUCCUCAGAACCUUUGUGUUCUGUCAUCAGAAAUCUGAAAAUCAACCUCUCUCUCAAGUGCAUUCUCUUAUAGAAUCUUCUGAAUUUCUGAAUCUGUCCACUGAAGCGCUUUGAUUCUGAUCUGUACUCUCGGCUCAAUUAUGAGGAUAGUCAUAACACUCAAAAGGUG
This 249-nucleotide long non-coding RNA is filed under the name Eucalyptus grandis. RNAcentral describes it as "long non-coding RNA (EGRA_LNC007692)". The record is from RNAcentral. Lineage: Eukaryota; Viridiplantae; Streptophyta; Magnoliopsida; Myrtales; Myrtaceae.